This 301-nucleotide ribosomal RNA is filed under the name uncultured bacterium. RNAcentral describes it as "partial 16S ribosomal RNA". It matches the Rfam family "Bacterial small subunit ribosomal RNA", at positions 509 to 807 of the family's 1533-position model. The record is from RNAcentral.
CAGCCGCCACGGGAAUACGUAGGUGGCAAGCGUUGUCCGGAAUUAUUGGGCGUAAAGGGCUCGCAGGCGGUUUCUUAAGUCUGAUGUGAAAGCCCCCGGCUCAACCGGGGAGGGUCAUUGGAAACUGGGAGACUUGAGUGCAGAAGAGGAGAGUGGAAUUCCACGUGUAGCGGUGAAAUGCGUAGAGAUGUGGAGGAACACCAGUGGCGAAGGCGACUCUCUGGUCUGUAACUGACGCUGAGGAGCGAAAGCGUGGGGAGCGAACAGGAUUAGAGACCCCCGUAGUCCCUGUCUCUUAUAC